RNAcentral lists this transfer RNA (72 nucleotides) under Actinomycetota bacterium. RNAcentral's name for it is "tRNA-Val". It matches the Rfam family "tRNA". Rfam says of the family: Transfer RNA (tRNA) molecules are approximately 80 nucleotides in length. Their secondary structure includes four short double-helical elements and three loops (D, anti-codon, and T loops). RNAcentral also lists the same sequence under 1 other name. The record is from RNAcentral. Lineage: Bacteria; Bacillati; Actinomycetota.
GGGCGGUUAGCUCAGCGGGAGAGCGCUGUCUUCACACGGCAGAGGUCACUGGUUCGAUCCCAGUACCGCCCA